RNAcentral lists this long non-coding RNA (9223 nucleotides) under Marmota monax (woodchuck). The stretch from base 1797 to 1864 matches the Rfam family "tRNA". The record is from RNAcentral. Lineage: Eukaryota; Metazoa; Chordata; Mammalia; Rodentia; Sciuridae.
GCACCUUCUCACUGUGUCUGCACAUGGUGGAAGAGCCACACAUCUCUACAGAGUCCCUUAUAAGGGCACUACUCUCACUGAUGAGGGCUCUUCCCUCAUGAACUAACCACCUCCCUAAAGCCUCACCUUGCAAUACCAUCACCCGUGGGUUAGGAUUUCAAUGUGUUAAUCUGAGGGGAACAAAAUCACACAGAUCACAGCAGCAACUAAGAAAUUUGUGAGCAAUUCCCCAAUCCUAGAUGAGGUGCUAAUCCUAGCCAAUUGUGCUAAUUCCAUUGUCCUCAAUAGUGACGUUUAAAAUUAGGUAGUAGAUAUCACUCUGACCAAUAAGAAGCAAGGGAAUUUAAGGAGGAAGCAAUCCACAAGUUAUAUAAGAUCAAGAAGCCAUACAGAAUGGUGAGACAUUUCAGAAAUAAGGAAAACAGAAAACAGCAACGGUCCCCAUGCUGGAGGAAUGAAGUAAGGAAGUGACAUUAUCAGACUCCACUAGCCAGGGCCUUCCAGCAGAAAGUGGAACAUGGAGGGCCAGUCCAUUGCAGGGCUGAGAGGCAGCCGCUACUGAAGCUCACUCAAGACACUCCUUGAGGCUGAGGCAAAAGAGGGAAAGCACUAUGGCUUCCCUUUUUCCUAUCCUCUGUUUUUCUGCCUUUGCCUUUAAAGUAAAUCCAGCUGGAAGUUGGCUGCUAGGGGACCGUGGAAGGAAUAGCCUUCAGCAGCCAGUCCUGUGAGAUACAGAGCAAAGCAGGGAAAGGUUAAGGGUUGGAUCUAAGGGCGAACAGGUGGAGGCCUGGAUUAAGAAGAAUGGGGAAGAGAAAGGAAUCAAGGGUGACUCUCCAGUCUUUGACUUGUGAAGGUGAGGAAGUGCCAUUUUUGGAGAUGGAGAAUAUCAAAGAAGUAGCAGUUUUGGGAACUAAACUCAGAAGCUUUUUGUAUUCAUGAAGUUUUAGAUGUCUGUUAAAUAUCUGAGCAAAGCUAUCAAGUGGGCUUCUCACACCAGAAGAUUCCCUUUGAUGUGGGAGGAAGGAAAGAGGAAGGGUGUGGGGAAGGAAAAGAGAAAAAGAGGGAAACAGGAGAAAGAGGGAGAGGAGAGGGAAGAGAAGGAGAGAGCCCCAGUGUAUGUGUCGUAGGGGCAGAACAACCUGUGUCCUGGUUUCUGGCAGUGCUACAGUGAAGGUGGCAAGUCCCUAUGGAGGAAAUGGGUACAUAUUUAGCUUAACAAAAUAUUUUUAAUUCCUAGAAUGGAGGCAUGGAAUUAGAAAAGACCUGAAAGAAUCUUACUGUAAAGACUGGUGAACACUCAGUAAUCACUUGAAUGGCAAAAUGACCAAGCACUAAAUGGGCCUCUCUUCCACCUACAGUGUAGAUAUGAUAACAUUUUGCAUACCUCGGGUCAUGGAGUUUGGUGGGAAGAGACAUAGAAGGGACUCAGGUUAAAUUGUCUGACACCCCAGCUGUGUGGAAAUCGAAAGACAAAAAUUUAGUUGCAUCAGAAUUCAUCAUCUUUUGCUACAGUAAAAUUAUGAGACAUAAAAUCCUCCACAAUGCCAUUUGUAAAGAUUCUCUUAUUAAGCUCAAUUUAAUCCACUGAUGAAUCUUAACAAAAUGGUCCAGAGGGCCUUAGGCCCUGUGAAUGUGAUGCCCUUAAAAUCUUCCCACAGUGUGAGAUCCAAACAAAACAAAACAAAACAAAAAAACACGAAAAAAUCAAAGCCUGUUUCUUCUCCAGUCUAAGUCAAUGGGUCAACCAUAAACACCAAAGACACAUAUCUACUCUUACAAAGAGUGUAACCUGGGCUGGGGUUGUGGCUCAGCGGUAGAGCGCUCACUUUACAUGUGUGAGACCCAGGUUCAAUCCUCAGCACCACAUUAAAAAAAUAAAUAAAUAAAAAUAAAAAAAGAGUGUAACCUAGCUCUAGAUCUUAAUGAAGAUACACUUUCUCCACAUAUAACAGAACUUGUACAGAUUUUUACAAAAGGAGCAGCCUCUUACAGCAUAAGCAAAGGAUUUAUGGUAUGAACUUGCUGGUCAUUUUGUGUAUGCUCUGGUUCUAGGCUCAGGGACAAAUGUGAAAAAAGAAGUGAAUGCCCAUUCUGAUUCCAUGUACUCAUCAAAGAUUUUGCCAAUAACUUUGUUUGUUUGUUUGUUUUAAUUAGUUACACAUGACAGUACAAUGAUCUUGACUGCCAAUAACUUUUUUGAAGUUAUUGGUUUUUAAAAAAAUUUAUUUAUUUACUUAUUCUAAUUAGGUAUAUAUGAAGUUACUGGUUUUGAUCACUUUAAACCAAAUAACGCUUCUAGACAGGACAUAGCCACACUCUGUCAAGUUUUCACAAAAGAAUACACAUUUAUGAGCUUUAUACAUUCAACAUUGCAGGGGUAGGUUCAGGAAAGAAUUCUGUUUCUCCAGUUACAUGGAUGUAUGUACAACUUUACUGGCCCUCAAAAGUUUCAAUGGUGAAAUACUGACUCUGUGUUCUCUAACAUUUUACUUUUUGAUACAAAAAUUGUUUUCAGCAAAAUGGUAGCUUAGGUAACUCAUACUCAUAUAAUUCAGUAGGAUCUAAUGUGAUUUUUUAUUAAAUAACAAAGGAAACUGACCAUGCAUUUCAUUGUUUUCACUAUAAAAGAGAGAAUAUUUAAAAGCACAUAAUCUCAUCUCCUGAUUUCAGCAGGGAACUCCAGCAGCUGUUAUGUAUGUACCUGUGUUGUAACAUUAAAAUUCUGGUGAGUCAGCACAGUGUAGGGGCACGUUUUUAUACGCUGAACUGAUUAGAAGCUCUCACACCUCACCAAGUACUCUGGUACAUGCCUAUAAUCUUAGAGGCUUGGGACGCUGAGGCAGGAGGAUUGUGAGUUAAAAGCCAGUUCAGCAACUUAAUGAGGCCCUAAGUAACUUACUGAGACCCUGUCUCUACAUAAAAUAUUAAAAAAAGGUUGGGGGAUGUGGCUCAGUGGAUUCAAUCCCCAGUAUAAACAAAACAAAACAAAAAACAACAACAACAACAACAAACCCUCGCACCUUGCUGUCUAAAACUUUGAGCAUAGGAAUAAAUGGCCAUAAAGAUAAAAUAAACCAUAAGAGUCAUUAGGAUUGUGAUAAUACUUUAUUCCCAAAUACUCUGGCUAUGUGUGCAAAGAGCAUAAUCGACUAUUUAAUUUGAAGUUUUAAUUAGCUGAGUUAAGGGAAACUGUUGAUUCUGAACUGGCUACAACAGAAUGAGUCAAUCCUUAUGUUCUCUGUCAUUGGAACAUGAGCAUAUAAACAGACUUGUAUGCAAGGAGAAAACUCACAGAUGACUGAUAAAUGAAUUCUGGCAGUGGCUUGUGAUCACAAUUGGCAAUAACUGGGGAAAAUAUUGACAGCAGUAAAUUUCGAACCCUUGGAAAGAGCAACUCUGAGCCUAUGUCAUAAUCCAAUUAUAGUUGAGCAGCCCAGAAAGACUCCUGGGCCAGAGAGAUUGUAAAUUGGGCCUUUGUGGAUGGGAAAAGAAUGAGAAAUGGAGGAAAUUUUUUUAUUUUUAUUUUUAGGAAUGUGUCCAAAGUAAAUGACUGUAGAUGUGUGUGGUUUUCUCAUUCUUGCUGUUUAUUUCUGGUUCUGAGCAGAGAUUGUAUGUGUGUUGACGUUGAUGCAUAUUCAUGCACCAAGGAAGGAAACUGUUCUGUUAACUGCUGCUAUAAAGCUCAUAUAUCACAAUGCUACAUGAGCACUGCCAUCUUUCUUGGUUUGCUCUAAUCAGGAUGUGUCACACAGUACAAAAGGGCUUUCUCAGAAGGCUGUGGGUGACAGGAAGACAAACAGCAGUGGCAGCUUACAGAGCUUGAAUUCCUAAUUCAUCAGGCCCUGCACAGAGCUCCUCCUACAAUUGUUCUGGAGACAAGUGGGAGAUGACAGGAAGCCCAAAAUAGCAAAGCUGCUUACCUAACUAUUUGUGUCAAACUCCUGCUGGAGAGCCACUGUUUUGUUUCAGUCGAACACUUGUGUAGAUCCAGUUAUCAGAGGUACAAGGUAUCGUGGUGGAAGUACUGCCUCUCUCCCUUAGGAUUGAGUUAUCAUUUGAGUCUAGCAAUUUAUACCUUUAUUAACUAAGAGACAAAAACUUUCUCCUUUUAUUCAGCAAACAUAUUUGAGCAUUGGCAAUAUGCCAAACUCUAUAUAAGUCAUAGGAAAUAUAAUGACAUAUAAGAUAUUGCAGGUGUUGCUUCCCAUAUAGUAGAAAAGAGACAUAUAUACAGACAAAUUAUAACACAAUGGAGAUAAUGUUAUAAAGGAAAGCAAAGUAUUUUUUCUGGUCUCAUAAAGACUGAUGAACUUCUCCUGGAGCCACUAGAAAAGCCUUUAUGGAAGAGAUGACAUUGGAAGUGGCUUUGAAGAUGUUUUCUAAAUAGAAAAGUCAAGAGAAAUUAGAAGAGCUACAUAUAUUUAUGGCAUUGAUUGUGGUGGUGGUUUUAUGGUAUAUACUUAUCUCCAAACUCAUCAAGUUGUAUACAUUAAACACAUAAGUCUUUCUACAUGCCCAUCAGACCUCAAAUAUGUUAAUCUAAAAAUAAAAAGUUCAAAGCAAGGUAUUCCAACCAUGUCCAAACCACAUAGACCUGAAUAUACAUAAGGUAGACUAGGAAGAGAAAGGCAUUUUGUGAUUAGUCUAUAGGGGUGAAAAGUGGGGGGGGGGGGGAAGCAGUGCUGGAGUGUAGUAAAACAAAAGAAGUUUCCAGAAAAAACCUGGGACUGGAUUUCAAGUUGUUUUGUAUGUCAGGCUAUGAUGUGGGGUUACUUUCCCCUGUGGAUAGCAGGAAGCCAAUAUAUACUAUAAAGAUGAAAGAAACAUGAUUAGACUUGUUUUAGGGUGUAAAAUCAGACUAUAAUGAAGGGAUUAAUUGAACAGGAAAAUACUGAUGGAAUGGAGAUCACAAGGAAAGAAAUUUACCAAUUAGUGAUAAGAAUAGAGACACCACAAAACUUUAAAAAUAGCUAGUACAGGUAGUUGCAGAACAGUGUACUUAUAAUGAGAAAUAUAUUUGGGAAACACUGAGAAUUCAACUAGACGUAGUGAACACAAAUAAAUGGACAUCCUCAUUACCCACUUCUCUGAUGCACAUUUUUGUUCUUAUAUUCCUUGCAUCUCUCAAAUCUAUAUUCUAAAUUAAAUUUCAAAGCUACUGAGCUACAGUUUCCUGCUUAUAUUUUAUAAGUCAUAGGAUUAUAAUUUUAUAUUUUAUAUUAUAAGUUCUUUAACUUAUAAGAAACAAAAACCUGUAGGAAAGGACAAAGCUGUACCCUUUCUGCACUGCCAAAACAUGUGACAACAUUCUCUUUAUCAAGUUCAAGCUGAGUAAAUGAUAGAGAACUAUUCAAAGAAGCUGCAUUAUGAGAGAAUUAUGGUUCAUCCCAAGGUUGUGAGGCUGAUUCAACAUAUGCAAAUCAAUAAAUGUAGCUCAUCAGAUCAACAGAAUUAAGGACAAAAACCACAGGAUCAUCUCAAUAGAUGCAGACAAAAAAAGAAACUUUUGAUGAAAUCCAGCACCCAUUCAUUUUAAAAACACUAAAAAAAUCUAGGGAUAGAAAGGACUUACCUUAAUAUUGUAAAGGCAAUGUAAAACAAAUCCAAAGGCCAACAUUAUGCUAAAUUGAGAGAAACUGAUAGCAUUUCCUCUAAAACCAGGAGCAAGACAAGUAUGUCUACUCUCACCACUCCUAUUUAAUAUGGUUCUUGAAAAUCCACCCAGAGCAAUCAGGUUAGAGAAGGAAAUUAAAGAGAUACAAAUAGGUAAAGAAGUUAAUUUAUCUCUGUUUGCUGGUGACAUGAUCCUAUACUUAGAAAAUAUUAAAUUUUUUUUUUCACCAGAAGAAUUCUAGAGCUGAUAACAAAUUCAACUAAGUAGCAGGAUACAAGGUCAACAUAAAAAAAAUAAAUAGCUUUCCUAUAUUCCAAUUAUAAAUCUGCUGAGAAAGAAAUCAGGAAAACAAUUUCAUUCAUGAUAACCUUAAAAACAAACAAACAAACAAAAACUUGGUAAUAAAUCUAACUAAAAAGGUGAAAGACCUCUACAAUGAAAACUAUAGAACACUGAAGAAAGAAAUCGAAGAAUAUCUUAAAAGCUGGAAAUACCUCCCGUGUUCUUGGAUAGGCAGAAUUAAUAUUGUCAAAAUGACCAAACUAUCAAAAGCAAUUCACAAAUUCAAUGUGAUCCCCAUCAAAAUAUCAAUGCCAGUCUUCACAGAGUAGAAAAAAACAGUUCUAGAAUUUAUUUGGAAGAAAAAAGAGACCCAGAAUAACCAAAACAAUAGUGAGCAACGACAGUGAUGCUGGAGAAAUCAUAAAACCUGAUCUCGAAUUAUACUACAGAUUUAUAGGGGGAAAAUCUCAGUAGAAUUGUUUUGUUUUGUUUCACAAAAGGAACCGAUUGGCUAUGUUUAUCUAACUUUUGCAGAAGUUUUCUCACUUUCUUAUCAGGGAAUCUUAAGGGGAGUUUGAGUCAAGGACAGAUUGUGAAAUUGUAGACAAGAUGGUCAGCAAUCCUUGUGGUCAGAAGCACUCCACUUUGAGGUAUUCUCCUUUUCCUGUUACAUCCAUCUGGUAAUUUAUAUCUGUACUUCUUCAUGAGCAUAAACAUUGGCCAACAUAGGUUACAAUGACCUGGAAAAUUCAGUGGCUUCAUACAGCAAAGGUUUGUUCCUUGUUCAUGCUUCACAUUUACUUUGUGCUAGAAGGGUCAAGGUGAGGGGACUCAACUCAUUUAAGUCAAUUACUCAGGUUUAUGGGAAAGCCAUUAUCUUACGCUCAUUAGCUGUCAUACAAGGGGAAAGAGAAAGAUCUGAGGGUGGAGGUGUCCACUUUGAAAAUCAAGUGUUUCAAUCCAAAAGUGACACCUCAUUUUGCUGGCAACUCAUUGGGCAGAACUGGUCACAUGAUUUUUUGUUCCAAACAAAAAAAAGGGCCAUGGAAGUGGAAGCCUUCAAUAUGUUCAGAAUGGGGAAGAAAUGGGAGUAUUUGGCAAAUAGCACUAAUGAAUACACUGAGACUAAGAUAGGAUUAUCUUGGAAAAAUGAACUUAAGUUUGGCCGAUUAUGACAAUCUUUCUUUCAACUCUUUUGCAUGAUUCUGUAUGUUUCUUACAUUGAUUAAAUAACCAGCCUUUUGAAGACUUUGGAUGUAGGACAGGGAGAAUUGAGGUCCAUUUGAGGGAAGCAUGCCAGUAUUUUGUCCAUACUCCCCCAAUGUAACUUUAAUGGUGACAUAUUAUAGAGGAUUAACAACAUCUCCCCAGAAACAACUCUGAAGACAAAAAGCCUAGAUAUUAAACACUAUCUGCUGUGCAUUCACUGCGUAGGAUUCAUUUAACAUUUUAAAAAUCAUAUACAUCACUGCUUACUCUCAACAUUUUCAUUGUCACAAACACCUACUUAACAGUAAUUUUAGAGCUUUUCAUAUUCCUAAAUAUUAAACCUAUAAUCCUAACACUGUUCUUAAUAGAUCCUCAUAGAACUACCCAAUAGCCACAGUAAAACAAACAGAGCACCUGCUGGUAUCAGAAAUAGGAGAGAAUGAGCAGUACCAUCCAGGCGACAUGGUAUUUCGUCAGGAAGAAUGUUUUUGUAAUGUGUUUUAACAACUACUGGAAAGUGGGACAGUGCUGAGGUUGGAAAGCUGAUGUUUGCAGUCAGUCUGUAAAGACAGCUAAAUUGGUUUAUAUCUCCUCAUUUUUCUCUCAUUUCAGGAUAGAAACAGAGUAUUUGCUACUGGAAUGACUAUUAGUUGUAGUCAUGUGACAGAUUUGUCACAUGCUGCCGAAACAGAAAUCUGUAUAGCGGAUUGAUUGCUGUAAGGACACAGUGAUUCACAAUAAGCACCACAGACAAAUUUCCCAAGUUCUCAGUUUAGAAAUAAUGAGGAGGAUGGGCCAACUGAUCUUGUCAGCUCGUAUAAAACUCAUUGCGUCACUUCACCCAGAUGCUCUUAAAUCCUUUCCAUGGUUUCUGUGUAUCCAUCUCCCAGAAUCUGCAUGCUUGACUCCUACAGGCUGUUGCCUUCAGUCUUCAGAGAACUACCAAUGGGCUCUUGGAAUCCCUUUGCCAAGCUGCCCUAAGAGCAGAAAGUGCCCCACAGCCUACAGCCAAGGACUGCCUAGAGCAGGAAUAGUAAAGCUUAACUUUUGCCUCAACAUGACCCAAUUUUCUCUGGACACUGAAAGGGAAGAAGUGAGAAGCAAACACCAGUCACAUUAGGCAGAGGUAGCAUAGACAGGAAUUAUCUCAGAUCAGAGGAAAAUAUCUAGCAAAAUGCACAACUUCACCUGCUUCUCCCAAUAAAAUAGUAUUUGUAUGACUCCUUAAAAAUAAAAUGCUGCUGGUGCCUUGUAUUUUUAAGAAACAAGAGUCAGACAGAUUUUUAAGUUCCUAGAGAAAUCAGGCAACAAGUUGAAGAUGUUCAGUUACUAGUAUAUUUAGAAGGUGAACUGAUCAAAGAAAAAAAAAUAAAGAAAAGGACACUCAGAUUCUGGUCAGAACUAGCAGAACAAUCCACGUUAACACAUACACACACAGAAAAUGUGUGCGUGCACACACAUGCUCUGAUUGAGCAUGAGUAUUCAGGGUAUCAAAAGGCAAAAAGGCAAAAUUUUCUGGAAUUUACAAAGACUUGCUAGUCAAGCUGACAACGCUAUGAGAUGGACUUUGUUCUGAAACUAGGUUAUUCGUCUUUGCUUGGCUACCGUAGCAACAAGAUUGGCAGGAAAAGUGGGAAGGCCUGUCCCACAAGUAAGGGUUCAACUCCUGAGAUGACACCCCAACAAAAUGUCUCACAAUCUCUCACCUUUAAGUUAAAGAAGAUUUAAGUGAUAGCUGAAUAUCUGGAGGUAUGAGAGACACUCUGCAGAGUGAGGAAUGUUAUAGGUGUUCAGUAUUUGUUGACAUCUCAAUCUACAAUUGUGUGCCACAGAGCAUUAUGUAGGAACUGAGAGAAUGUACUACUUGUAAAUUGAUUCCUUUAAACAUGUUUAUCUAAAUAAAUUACUUAUAUUUACAGAUUUCAUUUAUCAUUUUUUAAGAAGUAUUGCAGAACCUGGGUAUGGUGAGGACCAACUUGUUAGUGAAAUUUGCAUGACUUAUAACAAAUUAAUUCUUGUUAAAAAUAAUCUCAUACUUGUAACGGGGCUGAGUAAAGAUAUCAACGUAUGCAGUUUUUGGACACCAGCAUCCUUUUCUAACUUGGAAGUACAUAUAGG